AACGAACGCUGGCGGCGCGCCUAAUACAUGCAAGUCGAGCGAGAAGACGUAGCAAUACGUUUGUAAAGCGGCGAACGGGUGAGGAAUACAUGGGUAACCUACCCUCGAGUGGGGAAUAACUAGCCGAAAGGUUAGCUAAUACCGCGUACGCUCCUUGGACUUCGGUUCAGGGAGGAAAGCGAUACCGUGGGUAUCGCGCUCUUGGAUGGGCUCAUGUCCUAUCAGCUUGUUGGUGAGGUAACGGCUCACCAAGGCUUCGACGGGUAGCUGGUCUGAGAGGACGAUCAGCCACACUGGCACUGCGACACGGGCCAGACUCCUACGGGGAGGCAGCAGUAAGGAAUAUUGCGCAAUGGGCGAAAGCCCUGACGCAGCGACGCCGCGUGGGGGAUGAAGGUCCUCGGAUUGUAAACCCCUUUCGGGAGGGAAGAUGGAACGAGCAAUCGUUCGGACGGUACCUCCAGAAGCAGCCACGGCUAAC
RNAcentral lists this ribosomal RNA (481 nucleotides) under uncultured bacterium. RNAcentral describes it as "bacterial SSU rRNA". It matches the Rfam family "Bacterial small subunit ribosomal RNA", at positions 29 to 501 of the family's 1533-position model. The record is from RNAcentral.